UUGGAGGGCAAGUCUGGUGCCAGCAGCCGCGGUAAUUCCAGCUCCAAUAGCGUAUAUUAAAGUUGUUGCAGUUAAAAAAGCUCGUAGUUGAACCUUGGGUCUGGCUGGCCGGUCCGCCUCACCGCGAGCACUGGUCCGGCUGGACCUUUCCUUCUGGGGAAUCCUAUGGCCUUCACUGGCUAUAGGGGGAACCAGGACUUUUACUGUGAAAAAAUUAGAGUGUUCAAAGCAGGCCUUUGCUCGGAUACAUUAGCAUGGAAUAAUAGAAUAGGACG
RNAcentral lists this ribosomal RNA (275 nucleotides) under uncultured Ascomycota. RNAcentral describes it as "partial 18S ribosomal RNA". It matches the Rfam family "Eukaryotic small subunit ribosomal RNA", at positions 548 to 829 of the family's 1831-position model. The record is from RNAcentral. Lineage: Eukaryota; Fungi; Ascomycota.